Pelobates cultripes (western spadefoot toad) is the source of this 205-nucleotide non-coding RNA. Lineage: Eukaryota; Metazoa; Chordata; Amphibia; Anura; Pelobatidae. The record is from the annotation of a GenBank genome assembly.
UUCUUCCAUAGUGCCAGUGCCUUAACGCUUCCUGUCCUUCUAUAGUGCCAGUUCUUCCAUAGUGCCAGUGCCUUAACGCUUCCAGUCCUUCUAUAGUGUCAGUCCUUCCAUAGUGCAAGUGCCUUAAUGCUUCCAGUCCUUCCAUAGUGCCAGUUCUUCCAUAGUGCCAGUGCCUUAACGCUUCCAGUGUUUCUAUGGUGUCAGU